Molecule: unclassified non-coding RNA, 4603 nt
Filed under: Hevea brasiliensis (rubber tree)
Lineage: Eukaryota; Viridiplantae; Streptophyta; Magnoliopsida; Malpighiales; Euphorbiaceae
Source: RNAcentral
UUUUGGAAUUUGGAUUCGCGAGCUGCACGUAAUCAGGAAAUGAAUAUCUCCUAUGACCCCAACUAAUUUCAUGGCGAUUCCGACGUUUCCCUCUGGCUCGAUCUUAUCGAACCUCGCCUCUACCUCCACAUUCUUCCCAAUAGCUCCCUCUCUUCUCUUCACUCCACAUAUUGACCAAAACCCUAAAUCGGAGUGAUUCGACUCACUCAACGCGCGCGCUCACAAACAGAGAAGUGUCCUCUGGCCAUGCGACUCUGGUUCUCUGCAAUCUCCCUCUCCAAAGAGGACUUCUUGAAUUUUGUUCAAAUCUCCGCUUUCAAACUGCUUGAUUGUACGAAUUCUACAAGAAAUGUCCACCGAUUCUCACGCCCCUAAUCCCAGGGGUGUUCUCUGCAAUGCCGGCGCAGGGGCAGCUGCCGGAGUUAUUGCUGCAACAUUUGUGUGUCCCUUAGAUGUCAUCAAGACUAGAUUUCAGGUUCAUGGGCUUCCGAAGCUCGAUAAUGGAAGUAUUAAAGGAAGUCUCAUAGUGGGUAGUUUGGAACAAAUAUUCCAGAAGGAAGGGCUACGUGGCAUGUACCGGGGCCUUGGUCCUACCGUGCUCGCAUUGCUUCCCAAUUGGGCAGUAUGUGAUAUUAUUUCCUGAAUUUAUUUUCUUAUUCAUGCUUCUUGGAAUGCUGAUUUUCCACAAAAGAGAACGAAAAGAAAGAAUACAGGGAAUCAUGCUUGUUAGUGAUGCGUUUUAUGAUGAUUUCUCUGCUAUGUAAACAAGUUGAAUAUGAAAGGGGAAAGAUUUUGGAUUCCUUACUACUUUGUAUUGUUCAUAUAACUUUAUCUGCAAGUGUUUUUAAUUAAGGUCAAUGUUGUUUCUGAGAAUUGGAGAAAGGAAUGAAUCAAUAAUUAUCAUUGUUAAAUUUAUUGACUCUCUUUUGGAAUGAGUUGACUUAUAGCAAUUUGUUGCUUUGAAGUAAUUCUUAUACUAUGCAACACAUUAGAUGCAUCAAAGUAAUCUUUUAUACUUUUCUGUGCACAUACCUUCUGGAACCACUGAGUGGACAAAUUUCCUAAUUCUAAAGCAAAGCUUUGUUUGGGAAAUGUAGCAUGAUUGAUGGUCUGACGUUCUAAACAAUUGGGAUAGUGAAAGCUCAAAAUUUUAUUUUAUGUUUCUUUUGGCUCAGGAAUCUUGGGUAAUAUUUUUAACCCAGGUAACAUGAUGAAAAAGGGUAUUGCUUGGUCUAUCUAUGGAUGUUUUCUUUGCGAGUCUAGGGACUACUUAUUUCUUCAUUGCAAAUGGGUUGAAGGAUCUUUGGAGUUUUGUGUAUGCUACCCUUGGAAUCAUUUCUUUCUGUGCAAAGAAUAUAGAGAUGGAAUUAGGUGCUGCUAGUUGCUCUUGGUAUAGGACCAGGUAUGGGGAUAUGUUGGAUGCUAUUCAUUUGGCUAUUUUUUGGAGUAUAUAGAGGGACUAAAUUUUGAGGGUUUGAGAAUUAAGAUUGUAGAAAAACCUUUGUACAUAUAAUAAGGAGAGAUGAGUGCAUGCUCUUCAAAUAUGGAUGACAAGGAAUUUUGGGUAGAUCAAUUUGCUUUUAUGAAUUUUGUUAUUAGUGUCUAUCAAAGAGACCCUUAAAUUGUAUACCCUGGGCUGACAUUUGGGGCAUCCAUCUGGUUGAUUCUGAUUUAUUUAUUUUAUAUCAGUGUAAUGCCAUUCAAAUCCUCUGUUCUAUUAUAAACUAUGGUAGGUUGAAAAGGAUUAAUUGCACAUUGGAAAGCUAAAGGAUUUCCUCUUUUGAUCAUUUGCUGCACCAAUUAUUUUAAUGUGAUUUAUCUAUUGGAAUGAUUAAAAGCAACUACUGGGAAAGAAACAAUGAAAGGAGAAGAUAAUUUGUUCAUGAAGUGAAAUAAAAUAUGCCUAUUAAGUUGAAUAAACCAUAAUCAACUUGAUUGCCAAUUUGAAUUUUACUUCUUAAUCCAAAAUUUACUAUGCAGGGGGUUGUUUUAAAGGUAAGAUGUGAUCUUUAAGCUACUUUAUAUUGUGGCCCUCUACUCUGAAACAUACCAUUAGUGAGGCCACUGGUUUAAUUUUAAGGAUAUUAAGGUUUUGGCUGAUUCAGAAUAAUUCUGUCUUUUCUUGUUCCUCAUUUUUUUAGUGGCUUUAUGGGGCUUGUAAUUAUUCCAUUGUAGUUUUCUUUCAAAUGACCCAAUUUUUUAAUGUUUCAGGUUUAUUUUUCAAUAUAUGAGCAGCUCAAAAGCCUUCUUUCUUCCAAUGGUCAGUGCUUACCUGUUGCUUUCAUUAGAGAUGAUAUAAAGCAUCAUUCACACUUUAUUUUUUCAUUUGGUGCAUAGAUUUUUGUGGAGGUCUCCUUGAUGUUUCUUCUUCUUCUCAAGUGUUAUUAUGCCUGUCAUUAUUUGUUUUUCUUAAUGCCAAGUCUUAAUGUUUUUGUAAUGCUGGUGCUUGUGUAGAUGAGAAUCAUCUUUCAAUAGGUGCAAAUAUGAUAGCUGCUUCUGGUGCGGGUGCUACAACAACUAUUUUCACAAAUCCUCUUUGGGUUGUAAAGACAAGACUUCAAGUGCGUUCCACAAAUUCAUGUCGUCAUUUCUAUAUUAUUAAGAAAGAAAUACAAUUAUUGUCACGUUUUAUCAUCUCUUGCUUCUUCCUCCAAUAGCUUUACCAUUAGUAAAUUUAUUGCAUGCCUUUGAUUUUUUCUUUCAAACGUUGAACUGUAGCCACAACCAGAAGGUUUGGGACGGUGUUUGUAUGGUGAAGAGACAAGACACUUGAGUUUCUUGUUGCUGUUGCUGUUACUUCUGAUUAUUGAUUUUACUUUUAACUUGAUAGAGUUGGAAUACUUCUUGAAAGAGUUACCUUAACAAUUUUAUGCUUUAUGCAAGAUAACAAAAAUAUAAAACAAAUCCUAAAUUUACGUAAUGGACAUUAUUUGGUAAGCAAAGCAGAAUAAUAGAGGAAGAAUCAAUGGAAGGGAGAAUAAUUUUAGCUUGUCGCUUGCAAGAGUUGAAAAGUUAUUGCAUCUUUAAAGAUUUGGAAACACUUCAAUUCACUUUUUCCUCUCUCCUUUUGCUCUCUAGACCCAAGGAAUGAGAGCAGGUGUGGUUCCAUACAGGAGUACGCUGUCUGCUUUGAGGAGAAUAGCUCAUGAAGAGGGUAUUCGUGGGUUAUACAGGUGCCAUUUUCUACAGCCUAUUUCAGUGAACUUAUGUGAGUAAUUUAUUCUAGUUGCAAAGAUGAAACAAAAUAAUAAUUUUAAGCUUUGUGUGGUGAGCAGUGGUCUUGUGCCUGCAUUGGCUGGCAUCAGUCACGUUGCCAUUCAAUUUCCAAUAUAUGAGAAGAUCAAAUUUUAUUUGGCCAAUCAAGAUAAUACUACAAUGGAUAAACUAAGUGCGCGCCAUGUUGCUGUUGCCUCAUCAGUCUCAAAAAUAUUUGCUUCCACAUUGACAUAUCCCCAUGAGGUAUCCUGCUGAACAAAUUCUCUAUUAAUAUAUACUCUUAAUAAAAAAAUAUUCAUAUCAGCAUGAAGAAUAGAAAAGUCAUGGUUGCUAAUUGCUAAUCAAUUUUCAUUCCUCGCCUCCACCAAAUUUGCUAAAAUAAUAAGUUGAAAGAGGAUGUUUAAAGACUUUCGCAGAUUACAUCAAUUUUUAAAGGGAUGCUUGUAAUUUAAAAUGUUAUUUCCUUUUCAACCUUCACAAUGGAACAUGUUUACCUAAAUGUGUUGACUAUCUACCACUCAUGUUGCUAAGAAUAUGUUCAUUGUAUGCUAAAGGACCUUUUCCUUAGUGAGCUAAGCAGUAUUUGUUUUCCUUAUCUGAUAAGCUGCCUUUUAAGGUCAGUCUUUUGGCAGCUAGUGACCACUGUUUGACUUUGGUGUUUGGAGGGCCCAACUAACAGGAAUUGUUGCUAUCUGUGUUGACUACUUAGUCAGCUCAAAUGAUAAUAAAUUAGUUCUCCUAUGAUAUUUGCAGGUUGUACGCUCAAGGCUUCAAGAACAGGGCCACCAUUCUGAGAAGCGUUACUCUGGUGUAGUUGAUUGCAUAAAAAAAGUAUUUCAGCAGGAUGGUUUUCCUGGUUUUUACCGUGGGUGUGCCACCAACCUUCUUAGGACCACCCCUGCUGCUGUUAUUACAUUCACUAGCUUUGAGAUGAUUCACCGGUUUCUUGUUACCCUUUUCCCUCCUGACCCACAUCCUCACACAUUGUGAAAGUGGAUUGAUCUCGAGACUGUUUGUAUGGAUGGACCAACUUGCAUUACCAUGGACAACAAAAUGGAAGAAUUGCUGAGGUUAGGUUGACAUUGUCUCGGUGAUGAUACGAUUCUGGAUUGCUUGUGUUAUGUAUUUAUUUCAGGUAGUUUUUGUAGCAACAGUGACGGAUAUUAAAGCUAUAUCAUCCCCGCAUAGAACUUCUGCACUUAAAAGUGACUGAAGGGGAAGGAAAUUUAUAUUGUACUGAUAGUGAUAAUGACGACAGAAAGGGUACUUUGUGCUUGUGGACAAAUGUUCGAACAUUUUUUCUGUGAUGACUUCUGAAUAAAUUUUAUGAGAAAUUUUUUACUUUCAACUUAUUUGUCAUUCUAGCAGCAGGAUUGCACCAUGUGGA